Molecule: ribosomal RNA, 256 nt
Filed under: Homidia socia
Lineage: Eukaryota; Metazoa; Arthropoda; Collembola; Entomobryomorpha; Entomobryidae
Description: partial small subunit 12S ribosomal RNA
Source: RNAcentral
UGGCGGUGAAUUAUUCUUUCUAGAGGAACCUGUUUUUUAAAUGAAAUUACACAAUUAUAAUUCUGAUUUUAGUUUAUAUACCGUUGUUGACAAAAUUAAAUUAAUAAUUUAAUUUAAUAUAUUAAAAUAAAUGUAAUUCAAAUCAAGGUUUAGCUUAUAAAUUAGUUUCAAAUGGGUUACACUAAAAACUCGGUUAAAAAGAUGGAUUUAGGAGUAAUUUAUUUUAAUAUUUUUUAUUUGAAUAAAGUUGUAAUUC